CAGCCAUGCCGCGUGCAGGAGGACGGCCCUAUGGGUUGUAAACUGCUUUUGUAAGGGGAUAAACCCCUCAACGAGCUUGAGGGCUGAAGGUACCUUACGAAUAAGCAUCGGCUAACUCCGUGCCAGCAGCCGCGGUAAUACGGAGGAUGCAAGCGUUAUCCGGAUUUAUUGGGUUUAAAGGGUGCGUAGGCGGCCUGUUAAGUCAGAGGUGAAAGGUUGCGGCUUAACCGCAGACAUGCCUUUGAUACUGGCAGGCUUGAAUGAAGUUGAGGUAGGCGGAAUGUGGCAAGUAGCGGUGAAAUGCAUAGAGAUGCCACAGAACACCAAUUGCGAAGGCAGCUUACUAAGCUUUAAUUGACGCUGAGGCACGAAAGCGUGGGGAUCAAACAGGAUUAGAUACCCUGGUAGUCCACGCCGUAAACGUUGGGCGCUAGGUGUGGGAUCCCUUCCACGGGUUCCGUGCCGCAGCUAACGCAUUAAGCGCCCCGCCUGGGGAGUACGGCCGCAAGGCUA
RNAcentral lists this ribosomal RNA (513 nucleotides) under uncultured bacterium. RNAcentral describes it as "bacterial SSU rRNA". It matches the Rfam family "Bacterial small subunit ribosomal RNA", at positions 389 to 896 of the family's 1533-position model. The record is from RNAcentral.